Molecule: ribosomal RNA, 498 nt
Filed under: uncultured Actinomycetes bacterium
Lineage: Bacteria; Bacillati; Actinomycetota; Actinomycetes
Description: bacterial SSU rRNA
Rfam family: Bacterial small subunit ribosomal RNA
Source: RNAcentral
AGAGUUUGAUCCUGGCUCAGGACGAACGCUGGCGGCGUGCUUAACACAUGCAAGUCGAACGGUGAAGCCCUUCGGGGUGGAUCAGUGGCGAACGGGUGAGUAACACGUGGGAAAUCUGCCCUGCACUCUGGGACAAGCCUUGGAAACGAGGUCUAAUACCGGAUAUGACCUGCUCCUCGCAUGGGGGUGGGUGUAAAGCUCCGGCGGUGCAGGAUGAUCCCGCGGCCUAUCAGCUUGUUGGUGGGGUAAUGGCCUACCAAGGCGACGACGGGUAGCCGGCCUGAGAGGGCGACCGGCCACACUGGGACUGAGACACGGCCCAGACUCCUACGGGAGGCAGCAGUGGGGAAUAUUGCACAAUGGGCGAAAGCCUGAUGCAGCGACGCCGCGUGAGGGAUGACGGCCUUCGGGUUGUAAACCUCUUUCAGCAGGGAAGAAGCGCAAGUGACGGUACCUGCAGAAGAAGCACCGGCUAACUACGUGCCAGCAGCCGCGGUA